UCUCUCUUAUCUCAGCAACACAGCAGUCCCUUUCCCCUUCUUCGUACGCCUCCAGGCCAUCUAGCUCGCUCGGAUUACGGCCGUCGGCGGCGGUGCUUCCAGAGGUGAGCGGCAUGGCAGGGGCGGGGGCGGAGGAGGCGGUGGUGGGCGAGAGCUUCGAGUUCGCCUUUGACAAGGAGGCCUUCUCCGACAAGAAGCUGCGGGUCGAGGUCGUCGGCAGCGACGACGCCGCCAGCCGCAAGCGCCGCCGCGAGGACGACAAAAGUGAUGAAGGAGAAUGUGUUGAUUCUUCUUCUAUAGUGAUGGCUGCACCAACUUUACGAGUCACUACCAUGCAUAUCAAUUCGGCCAUUCUUGCUGCAAAAAGCCCUUUCUUUUUCAAGCUUUUCUCAAACGGCAUGAAAGAGUCUGACAAGGGACAGGCAACACUUCGAAUAGCUGAUUCAGAGGAAAAUGCCUUCAUGGAGCUUUUGUACUUUAUGUAUAGUGGAAAGUUGACACCAACAACUGAGCCCACUCAUCUGGUUGAUAUCUUGAUGGCCGCUGACAAAUUUGAGGUCAUUUCUUGCAUUAAGCUUUGCGGUCAGUUGCUCACAAGCUUGCCUAUGACCCCAGAAUCUGCAGUGCUGUGCCUAGAUCUACCAUAUUCCAUUUCAAUGGCACCUGCCCUGGCAGUGGCAGCCAAGAAAUUCUUUGCUGAAAGAUACAAGGAUUUCCUGUCAACAAAGUUACAAGACGAACUGAUGAGGAUCCCUCUCGCAGGAUCCUAGCCAUCUUAUCAAGGAAUGACCUCGGAGUUUUACCUGAAGAAGCCGUCUAUGACUUUGUGCUCAGGUGGGCUGAUUCGCAGUACCCAAAUCCAGAAGAAAAACGCAAGAUCUUGAGUUCACAGUUACUUCCACUAGUACCACUAGUGCGAAGUAGAGUCAGAACCAUUGUACUUGAUUAGCCGUCUUGUAUAAUCAACUUCAGUCUAGAGUUGAUUAUCUUGUAUGUGGUAGACCCUGUAGGGCUGUAGGCUGGUGAGAUACAUAGUCUGGUUUGUGUGACUAGUGUACCGUGUUGUUGCCGUGUUUGUCCUGCUAUGCAGCAAAGUCGCUGAACUGUCUUUGUCGGAAGUUGGCUAAUAUAUUGCUGAUUACCUCUGUAAAACGAUGGAGUGUAAU
Molecule: ribosomal RNA, 1166 nt
Filed under: Triticum aestivum (bread wheat)
Lineage: Eukaryota; Viridiplantae; Streptophyta; Magnoliopsida; Poales; Poaceae
Description: partial small subunit ribosomal RNA
Source: RNAcentral